RNAcentral lists this ribosomal RNA (520 nucleotides) under uncultured Glomus. RNAcentral's name for it is "SSU rRNA". It matches the Rfam family "Eukaryotic small subunit ribosomal RNA", at positions 569 to 1094 of the family's 1831-position model. Lineage: Eukaryota; Fungi; Glomeromycota; Glomeromycetes; Glomerales; Glomeraceae. The record is from RNAcentral.
AGCAGCCGCGGUAAUUCCAGCUCCAAUAGCGUAUAUUAAAGUUGCUGCAGUUAAAAAGCUCGUAGUUGAAUUUCGGGGUCAAUGUGUUGGUCGUGCCUUGGUACGUACUAGCUUAUUGAUUUCUCCUUUCUGACGAACCAUGAUGUCAUUAAUUUGGUGUCAUGGGGAAUCAGGACUGUUACUUUGAAAAAUUAGAGUGUUUAAAGCAGGCUCGCGCUUGAAUACAUUAGCAUGGAAUAAUGAAAUAGGACAUUUGAUUCUAUUUUGUUGGUUCUAGGAUCGAUGUAAUGAUUAAUAGGGAUAGUUGGGGGCAUUAGUAUUCAAUUGUCAGAGGUGAAAUUCUUGGAUUUAUUGAAGACUAACUACUGCGAAAGCACUUGCCAAGGAUGUUUUCAUUAAUCAAGAACGAAAGUUAGGGGAUCGAAGACGAUCAGAUACCGUCGUAGUCUUAACCAUAAACUAUGCCGACUAGGGAUCGGAUGAUGUUAAUUUUUUAAUGACUCAUUCGGCGCCUUACGGG